GAAGCAAGCCAGACCGCCGCUGGGGCAAGCUCGGAAACGAGGCCCUGGAGGAAGGUCCGGACUGCAUAGAGCGGCGUAGCAGCUAACGGCUGCCCGGCGAAAGCCGAGGAUCAGAGCAACAGAGACGAGUCAAGGUGGGCCCCCGUCGGGAGGUGGUCUAUGCGGCGCCGGCGCAAGCCGGUGUGGGGUGAGGCGAAAGCCUCGCACCAUCGCGCGCAAGCGCGAACCGCGUAGCACCCAAGGCGGGCCAGGGCCCGCCUUGGGUGAAACGGGCAAUCUCUACGCGCAGCAACACCAAGUAGGCCAGCGUUGAUGCGGCUCGCAGAGCUGGCGGGUAGGUGGCACCGAGCCGGGCAGCGAUGCCCGGCCCAGAGGAAUGGCGGUCACGUCAUGCAUUCCGUUAGGGAUGGGUGGCGCACAGAAUCCGGCCUAUCGGCUUGCUUCACAC
This 448-nucleotide RNase P RNA is filed under the name Rubrivivax sp. RNAcentral's name for it is "RNase P RNA component class A". It matches the Rfam family "Bacterial RNase P class A". Rfam says of the family: Ribonuclease P (RNase P) is a ubiquitous endoribonuclease, found in archaea, bacteria and eukarya as well as chloroplasts and mitochondria. Its best characterised activity is the generation of mature 5'-ends of tRNAs by cleaving the 5'-leader elements of precursor-tRNAs. The record is from RNAcentral. Lineage: Bacteria; Pseudomonadati; Pseudomonadota; Betaproteobacteria; Burkholderiales; Sphaerotilaceae.